UGAACCCUGGUCGUCGCGCUGUG
RNAcentral lists this microRNA (23 nucleotides) under Amborella trichopoda. Its description in RNAcentral is "atr-miR8584". The record is from miRBase by way of RNAcentral. Lineage: Eukaryota; Viridiplantae; Streptophyta; Magnoliopsida; Amborellales; Amborellaceae.